RNAcentral lists this ribosomal RNA (462 nucleotides) under uncultured bacterium. Its description in RNAcentral is "bacterial SSU rRNA". It matches the Rfam family "Bacterial small subunit ribosomal RNA", at positions 28 to 485 of the family's 1533-position model. The record is from RNAcentral.
GACGAACGCUGGCGGCGUGCCUAAUACAUGCAAGUCGAGCGGAACCAUUGGAGCUUGCUCCAUUGGUUUAGCGGCGGACGGGUGAGUAACACGUGGGCAACCUGCCCUGCAGAUCGGGAUAACUCCGGGAAACCGGUGCUAAUACCGAAUAGUUUGCGGCCUCUCCUGAGGCUGCACGGAAAGACGGUUUCGGCUGUCACUGCAGGAUGGGCCCGCGGCGCAUUAGCUAGUUGGUGGGGUAAUGGCCCACCAAGGCGACGAUGCGUAGCCGACCUGAGAGGGUGAUCGGCCACACUGGGACUGAGACACGGCCCAGACUCCUACGGGAGGCAGCAGUAGGGAAUCUUCCGCAAUGGACGCAAGUCUGACGGAGCAACGCCGCGUGAGUGACGAAGGUUUUCGGAUCGUAAAACUCUGUUGUGAGGGAAGAACAUGUACCAAGUAACUACUGGUACCUGACGG